UACGUAGGGUGCAAGCGUUAAUCGGAAUUACUGGGCGUAAAGCGUGCGCAGGCGGUGAUGUAAGACAGGUGUGAAAUCCCCGGGCUUAACCUGGGAACUGCAUUUGUGACUGCAUCGCUGGAGUGCGGCAGAGGGGGAUGGAAUUCCGCGUGUAGCAGUGAAAUGCGUAGAUAUGCGGAGGAACACCGAUGGCGAAGGCAAUCCCCUGGGCCUGCACUGACGCUCAUGCACGAAAGCGUGGGGAGCA
This 247-nucleotide ribosomal RNA is filed under the name uncultured bacterium. RNAcentral's name for it is "partial 16S ribosomal RNA". It matches the Rfam family "Bacterial small subunit ribosomal RNA", at positions 524 to 770 of the family's 1533-position model. The record is from RNAcentral.